UGGGGAAUAUUGCACAAUGGGCGCAAGCCUGAUGCAGCAACGCCGCGUGAACGAUGAAGGUCUUCGGAUCGUAAAGUUCUGUUGCAGGGGAAGAUAAUGACGGUACCCUGUGAGGAAGCCCCGGCUAACUACGUGCCAGCAGCCGCGGUAAUACGUAGGGGGCUAGCGUUGUCCGGAAUCAUUGGGCGUAAAGGGUACGUAGGCGGGUAAGCAAGUUAGAAGUGAAAUCCUAUAGCUCAACUAUAGUAAGCUUUUAAAACUGCUCAUCUUGAGGUAUGGAAGGGAAAGUGGAAUUCCUAGUGUAGCGGUGAAAUGCGCAGAUAUUAGGAGGAAUACCGGUGGCGAAGGCGACUUUCUGGCCAUAACCUGACGCUGAGGUACGAAAGCGUGGGUAGCAAACAGG
Molecule: ribosomal RNA, 403 nt
Filed under: Bacteroidota bacterium
Lineage: Bacteria; Pseudomonadati; Bacteroidota
Description: Bacteroidetes bacterium partial 16S ribosomal RNA
Rfam family: Bacterial small subunit ribosomal RNA
Source: RNAcentral